This 408-nucleotide ribosomal RNA is filed under the name uncultured bacterium. RNAcentral's name for it is "partial 16S ribosomal RNA". It matches the Rfam family "Bacterial small subunit ribosomal RNA", at positions 28 to 526 of the family's 1533-position model. The record is from RNAcentral.
GACGAACGCUGGCGGCGUGCUUAACACAUGCAAGUCGAACGAAGUGUCGAACGUGUGAGUAACGCGUAAUCAACCUGCCCUUCUGAGGGGGCCAAUAGUUGGAUACGACUGCUAAUACCGCAUACCGAAGGAGGGGAUUGCGUCUGAUUAGCUAGUUGGAGGGGUAACGGCCCACCAAGGCGAGGAUCAGUAGCCGUUCUGAGAGGAUGAUCGGCCACAGGGGGACUGAGACACGGCAAAGACUCCGACGGGAGGCGGCAGUGGGGGAUCGUCCGCAAUGGACGAAAGUCUGACGGAGCAGCGCAGGGGGAGUGAUGACGGCCAUCGGGUUGUAAAGCUAUGUAUGUCGGGACGCGGUACCGGAAUAGAAAGCCACGGCUAACGACGUGCCGGCAGCCGCGGUAAUUC